CAACGGAUCUCUUGGCUCUCGCAUCGAUGAAGAACGCAGCGAAUUGCGAUAAGUAAUGUGAAUUGCAGAUUUUCAGUGAAUCAUCGAAUCUUUGAACGCACCUUGCGCUCCUUGGUAUUCCGAGGAGCAUGCCUGUUUGAGUGUCAUGU
Molecule: ribosomal RNA, 149 nt
Filed under: Xerocomellus sp. 3 JF-2015
Lineage: Eukaryota; Fungi; Basidiomycota; Agaricomycetes; Boletales; Boletaceae
Description: 5.8S ribosomal RNA
Rfam family: 5.8S ribosomal RNA
About the family: 5.8S ribosomal RNA (5.8S rRNA) is a component of the large subunit of the eukaryotic ribosome. It is transcribed by RNA polymerase I as part of the 45S precursor that also contains 18S and 28S rRNA.
Source: RNAcentral